RNAcentral lists this long non-coding RNA (474 nucleotides) under Rattus norvegicus (Norway rat). RNAcentral describes it as "long non-coding RNA NONRATT000580". Lineage: Eukaryota; Metazoa; Chordata; Mammalia; Rodentia; Muridae. The record is from RNAcentral.
AACACCCCUGGUCUUUCUCUCUUCCUCUCAAGAUUUCCUCAGGCUACCCCUUUUCCUUCUAGCUCUCUCUCUCUGCUAACGCCGAGCCCUGAUUGUUAACCUGUGUCUCCCUCUUCAUCCUUCUGAGACAAUUACCCAGGAUGCGAAUGUUCCUCUGUGAGCCCGGGUGUACUGGCUGGGAUUGUGCUGGGCGACUUGGUGCUGACUCUGCUCAUCGCCCUGGCGGUGUACUCUCUGGGCCGCCUGGUCUCUCGAGGCCGAGGGACUGCAGACGGUAAGCGGAGCUGGUGGGGGCUGCUCUGGGGCACUUUGAGACCUGGCCUGGUGGGAGGGGGACAAAAUGAAAGCUUCAAGGUCACAAAUAUCGAAAGGGCUGGGGACGGGAGGGCUGGCUUGUUGUUGCUGUGUUUUUGUUUCCUCCCUUAAUGCUGAGAGUCCAAAUGGUUACAUUUGUAGCAAAUGCUCUGUACCAAC